AGGCGCCCUGGAACUCCCCGCGCGUGUUGUGACCCAGAAUUCCCGGGGCUGUGGAAGAGACCAUAGACUCAACAGGAGGGGGAGUCCUGGGUAGCGCGCCGGUCUAAAUCGUUACUUGGCGGAAAGUUCCCAUGAGUCUUUGCCAGCGUCCCCCUCCUUUUGUGAGGAUUGGGAUAUUCCGACUCCUUAAGGGCCUGGCGCACAUAAGGUGUGACCUUUUCAUUCCCGUUGUUAUGGAGGUAGGCUCUCUAGGAAUCUGGGAGUAGUAGCUGGGGGGCAAGAGCAAAUAAAGAGCUCGAGCUUCUGUGGUCUCUGGGGAGAUGUUCCCGGGAAGCCUGUCUAGAGGGCGGAGGGCAGCUGUUGAGAUGGCGUGGCUCCCCGGCUCCUGCGCCCGCGUGGCUUUCGCGGCGGGCGCUGCGGCCCGGUAUUGGACAGCCUGGCAGGGCAGCGCGGGGCCGAAUCCGGCUGCCGUGGCUGAGGCUCAUGGAUCACUCUUUUGUGGUAGGGCCACAUCUGCCAGAGCCUGGAGUCUGCGAAGGCCGGGACCCGGUUCCCCGGCCCACAGUGGGGGUGUGCAAACCCGAGAGAACUGGUCGCUGAAACCUCUACAACUUAGUUGACCGUAACUGCCAGAGCCCUGCCCUGAAUUCCUGUCCUUACUCCCUCUUUAAGAUUGCGUACCCACUGCAGAGUGCUGAAGACGGGGUAGCCACGAGGUUGCAAAUUCGUGAAGAAUCAGCAUCAUGUUUGGCAGCUGAGUAUUGGAGCCAGGAGCCUGCCAUGAGGUUUUGAGAACAGAGUGCUGUUUUAGAGCUGGCAGCAGCAUCUCAGCCCAAGAGAAGGUUAUAUUCCCAGAGGAUGUCAGUCCCAAGGACCAGUAGCUGCCAUCAGUUUGGAUUCUGAAAACUAACUGGCAUCAACACUGGGUGUAGAAACAUGCUUGCCUUAUGUAUCAGAGGACAUGCUCAGCAGAUCCAAGAGAUAUAUUUGGCAACUUUUUCUAGAAAAGGCACAUUGGGUAUCAUUCAUUACAUUCUUGAGUUUUUUUGGGUUUUUUUUUUUUUUUUUGAGACAGUCUUGCUGUAUUGCCCAGGCUGGAGUGUGGUGGCACAAUCACAGCUCAUUGCAUCCUCAAUCACCCAGGCCUAAGCAAUCCUCCCACCUUGUAGCUGGGACUACAGCUCACAGCACACCUGGCUAAAAUUUUUUUUUUGUUGAGACGGAUUCUCUAUGUUGCCCAGGCUGGUCUCAGGCUCCUGGGCUCAGAUGGUCCUCCUGCCUCAGCUUCCAAAGGCACAGGCCAAGUUGUAGCUUUGUCCCUUGCCAUCAUGCCCAACAAGAGGUUCUAUACCUUUUAAUGAAUUGACUUUCAUAAAUUGGUUAUGUUGGUGGGCAAAGUUCUUUAAGCUGGAAAUUGUAAAUUCCUCCUGAAAUGUUUUUUCAUGCAGUUACCAUGAACUAAUACUACAAUAAAGGAUGGUCUUGGGUGUCAAUUCUUGAAAAUGUGUAUUUGAAGAAAAAGUAAAUUUCGCCUACUGUUGUCAGAUAUUAGCAGUCCAGAUAUUCGCUCUAGCUUGUAAACUUCCCUGUGGUCAGCCUAAGCUCUUAACCCCCUAUUCUACAGCUUUAGACUGAAGGCAAAAGCUCAAAGCAUUUAAGGCCUCCUCAAUUUCGGCCCCUGCUGCUCUGUGCUCUGUUCCUUGGUGUAGCUUUGUUCCAGCUCCUGCAGCAUUGCACCAUUCCUAACCACAACCUUAACAGCAUGUAGGGCCCCAUACUCUAGGCCCCAUCUUGCUGUCUUCCUGUGUUGGAAUCUUGCCUACCAAGGCCUGUCAAGAGGGUCCUCCCCCAUACUGUUUGCCCACAAGGUUCAAGAGUGAUUGGCUCCCAGUCUUCCUGGACUGAACUACUUGGAUCUAGGGGUUGCCUGUUAUUUAGAAGAGAUCCCUUAACUGGUAGGGCCCUUUCAGUAGGACAGUAUUUGGGUAAGGGGAGGGUAUAAGAUGAGAACCUUUGCUAAGUUAGGUUCCUUUGGGAGCCUCCAGUUUGUUUCUCCCUCUCCCCAGCCAUCUUGUUGGAUCUGCCAAGGGAUUGGACUCCUUCAUUGUCCUAGGUUUUUAAGGUUUUAAAGCCCACCUUCUGCAGUCGGUUUUCUGGAAUGUGUUGGUGGAUUACUUAAGAGUUAUGGGGAAAGAGUUCUUACGGCCUGUCUAGGUCAGUGAAGUCAUACUGGCAAGUGACAAGAAGGAAGCCAGGUUUGUCACUUACCCUGCAUGCUAAGGACAUCAGAGCCCACAUAGAAGUCUGGUAGUUUUUCAGCCAGCAGUGGGUAGGGAAGGUGGAUAGGGGAUUUCUGAACAGGACUUUAUGCCUGUAUGCAUGGGCACCAUGUCUGUCCUGAGCACUACCACAUGGCAUCGUAGGCUGCUCUGUCAAAGGAUAUAGCGAUAGCUGGUCCUAUGGGCAGAUGCCUAGAAUCAAGGUGGGCCUCAGAAAUAGGGCUGGGUCUCCAUAAGGAGGUAGGCCACGUUCAGUCCACCCCUAGCAUAGAUGGAACUGGGGUCUCGGGCAACCAGGAGUUACAGGAAUUUUGCUAAAGAUUCCCACCUUCCUUGAGUGGGGACACAUUCCUCUGGUUGGAGCUUGUUCCCCUAAAUGAAAAAUGUAAUGCAGUACAUGUAGGGGCCCUACUGUAUUCUUUUUCUGGGGGAAAGCUCUUGGUGUUCACAAUGGCUCAGGCUUACAGUACCUCCAGCCAUGUGCCCAUUUCCACAAGUCUUUGGGGAAGGCCAUGAGCUGAGCUGAGAGGGUUCUCUGGGGCCUGGGAUGACUUAAGAACCAAAUGGCAGAUAAUGGGAUAGGGGGCAGAUGCAGAGGACCAACGGGAAGUUUUAACACAAAUCCCCUUCCCCAGAUGAUAUGGUUUGCCUUUCUGUAGGUGGGUGGCCCAGGCCAAUUUUUGGCAAUAUCCUUAACCCACCUGAU
RNAcentral lists this long non-coding RNA (2985 nucleotides) under Homo sapiens (human). Its description in RNAcentral is "PREDICTED lncRNA (TCONS_00107445)". The record is from RNAcentral. Lineage: Eukaryota; Metazoa; Chordata; Mammalia; Primates; Hominidae.